Long non-coding RNA from Melospiza melodia melodia, 1258 nucleotides. RefSeq lists it as uncharacterized. The record is from RefSeq and is a predicted model, not a curated record. Lineage: Eukaryota; Metazoa; Chordata; Aves; Passeriformes; Passerellidae. The transcript is spliced from 8 exons.
GCAGGCGCUCGCAUCUAAUCAGGGAUCUGAGCCCCGUGAGCCGCACCCGGGGGUUCGGAGGCUCCUCCAGUCUUCAGCCCACUCUGCUCUCUGAGGGGAGAGGGCAAGAGGGGACAAAAGGGGCCAAGCAUCUCCGGAGGCUCCAGAUUGGAUGCCGCUUCUUUGGGGAUUGGCAUGGCAGUCACAGCGGCUUCAGGGGAGGGCACUGCGAGCUCUGCGUGACACCAGCCUGAGUCAGGGCAGGAACAGCCAGGACACGAGAGCACAAACUGUGAGAUGACAGCCAGACCCUGUGCACCUCUGCUUCUCUACAGGCAACACAAUAUUCACCAUUGCUUUAUGUCCAUCAUCUUGUUUGGAGCCAGUGUGUAAAUGCCAGAGAUGCCACAGACACUUUUCUCCAGUUUCAUUUCCCUUCUCAACACGGGCUGUUGUGCACAGGGUGCCAAGGCUUGCAGUGAUGCUGAGCAUCCUCUGCAUCAUGGCUUCAGACACACCAGGGACAACUAGCUAGAAACUUGGGGCACUAGUUGUCUUAUCCAGAGCCCACAAAGUUCCCCCAAAAGAAAUCCAUGACCUGCUGGCUUUACCAGCCCGUGUCUCCUCCCUGCAGCAAGCAGCAGCCUAAGGAGCCGUCAUCAGCAAAGAUUUAUGGCCAGGAUAUGCUGUUGCACCAGAAGCCGUACGGCACCGUGUGGAGACUGUCUGACUGUCGUCUCAGAAAGGUCAGAGCAUGGUCAGCCAGAAAGACGUGAAAGGGGCAAGACUGCUUUGCCCAAAUCUCUACCAGCUGGGGCAGCUCACCCAAAAUACCAAGCUCCAACUGCAGCUGGCACAGAGAGACUCCAGGUGUGACUGAAGUGCUGAAACCAGGGAUCAACUGCAGUCCUGCAAAUGCAGUCAAUGGAAUUCCUGUUGCAAAGGGAACCUGUGAGAUCCCUGAAAUCUUUCCUGGGGUGCCUCAGAACAGGGACUGUGCCAGCACAGAGCCACAUGUCACCAGCACAGUUUGGGACUGGAGCAUCCCACACCUGCCAUGCUCAGAAAUUCUAUACCGUGGAGGAGCAUCCUCAGGAAAGCUGUGAUCUGGAUGCACCACACAGUCUCCUUCUUCAGCAACUACCAGCAUUGGAGUUCCACUGCAUUUAUUUCUAGACAACUGACAACUAUUCCAGGGUAGCAGGAGCAAGAGCUCAGCUGUAAUUUGGGGUUGCAUUGUGCAAAGUGCUGUACAGGCACAGAAAAGAAGACCUCUGAC